Molecule: small nucleolar RNA, 134 nt
Organism: Scleropages formosus (Asian bonytongue)
Lineage: Eukaryota; Metazoa; Chordata; Actinopteri; Osteoglossiformes; Osteoglossidae
Product: small nucleolar RNA SNORA47
Source: Ensembl
UGGAGGGUUGAGAAGGUGUGGCAGCAUGAUCACAGUGCUGCCACAACUGGUUAAAGCCUCCGAGAGCAACAUCGCAACCCAGCGAAUCACAGUAAGUGGUCUUUGUGAGACCAGCGCUGUGUUGUGUACACCAC